This 1081-nucleotide long non-coding RNA is filed under the name Salvator merianae (Argentine black and white tegu). RNAcentral's name for it is "lncRNA (ENSSMRG00000006192.1)". Lineage: Eukaryota; Metazoa; Chordata; Lepidosauria; Squamata; Teiidae. The record is from RNAcentral.
GGGAGAGGUGGGGAUUCUCCCAGUUGGAGUUUAGGUUGUUCAGAUACUGUCACCGCUUUCAAAGCAGCAGCUACACUGGAUUCUCUGCUGAUCCACCAUGAACUUCCCUGUGGUGAUAUUGGCCUUGGCCUUGGCUGUUUUUACAGGUUCCCAGGCUUCUGCCUUAAAGAACGAGUCAGAAACCAGUCUGGAGGAGUCGUUCAAUGAAUGGGAGUCGGAAUUAAGAAAGGUUUUCCAAUCACUGGGACUUCAACUGUAUUUGCUCAGGGAAUCAGAAUUUGCGGAGGAACUAAAAUUUCUGGGUUUUGCCUGGACCUUCAAUGCCUCUAAAUUCUGGAUUGGCUAUGACUGGCCUGAGGACAUCCAACAAACACUUCAUUUCUUCCAUGGAGAUUCCCCCAAACCUGUAACUACGGACCUGGCAAAAGCUGUAACGGCUGCAACUGCUGACCUGGCCAAAGCUAUAAGUGUUGGCCUGGUGAGAGCUGUAUCUGCUGUAAUUGCCGGUGUGGCAAAAGCUAUCGCUGCUUGCCUGUCAAAAGCUGUAUCGACUGUCCUGGGAAACUGGGGGGAACCUUCCGAAGGGGAAUUACUUGAUGAUGCAUCUGAAGAACCAGCUGUUUAUAUAGAUCUAGAUGUGAACCCUUUAACUCCAGAGGAGGAUUCCAUAUUGAGUGGUCUGGUUGCCAGGGCCCUGGCGCUGGUCCCCAAGGUAAUUGUGACACGCGCCAACGCUCAGUCUGUUGGAGAUCGGCUGGCCCCUUACGUGAAAGAACGGAGCGAACACGCAGAGUCUGUUCAGCCAACGGUUAUUAAGGUCAAGGAAAACAUCGUAUUAGCACAGAAGGCCCUCAAUAAGUACGUCUCAAAUCCUUACAUUUUCCCAAUUGUGAAGGCAGCUGAAAAAUAUGCCCCUGACUUUCAAGUAUGGGUUCCAACCUGGGUCAUUCCUCCUUUCCAAUAAAGGAAAGUCUGUAAUCAUCGCUCAGCCUUUUGGUGGCUUCUUAAAACUCAUGGAUUCAAUCACAUUCACAAGAUGUGCGUGUGUCUUUAUCUGGCUCAGAAGCCCUUUGUAUAAAAU